RNAcentral lists this ribosomal RNA (409 nucleotides) under bacterium. RNAcentral's name for it is "partial 16S ribosomal RNA". It matches the Rfam family "Bacterial small subunit ribosomal RNA", at positions 355 to 776 of the family's 1533-position model. The record is from RNAcentral. RNAcentral also lists the same sequence under 2 other names.
UGGGGAAUAUUGCACAAUGGGCGAAAGCCUGAUGCAGCGACGCCGCGUGAGGGAUGACGGCCUUCGGGUUGUAAACCUCUUUCAGCAGGGACGAAGCGCAAGUGACGGUACCUGCAGAAGAAGCACCGGCUAACUACGUGCCAGCAGCCGCGGUAAUACGUAGGGUGCAAGCGUUGUCCGGAAUUACUGGGCGUAAAGAGUUCGUAGGCGGUUUGUCGCGUCGUUUGUGAAAACCAGCGGCUCAACUGCUGGCUUGCAGGCGAUACGGGCAGACUUGAGUACUGCAGGGGAGACUGGAAUUCCUGGUGUAGCGGUGAAAUGCGCAGAUAUCAGGAGGAACACCGGUGGCGAAGGCGGGUCUCUGGGCAGUAACUGACGCUGAGGAACGAAAGCGUGGGUAGCGAACAGG